AACUCGAUUUCAUAAAACAGUCAAGAAUAAUCACACCCACUUCAUUAAAAUCUCGAUUCACCAGUACAACACUGACUUCAGCAACGGUUGCCUCAGUCUUCUUAAAACCCUAUGAAGAAAAAAAAUCCCAAUUCUCUGUCUUUUUUUCCCUUCCCAUAGCAUGAAGCUAGCUCCCCGAUCCUUCUAAAAAAACUUAUUCUCCUUCUCCUUCUAUUUUUU
RNAcentral lists this long non-coding RNA (219 nucleotides) under Physcomitrium patens. RNAcentral describes it as "long non-coding RNA (PPAT_LNC009352)". Lineage: Eukaryota; Viridiplantae; Streptophyta; Bryopsida; Funariales; Funariaceae. The record is from RNAcentral.